UGCCAGACUCCUACGGGAGGCAGCAGUGGGGAAUAUUGCACAAUGGGGGAAACCCUGAUGCAGCGACGCCGCGUGAGUGAAGAAGUAUUUCGGUAUGUAAAGCUCUAUCAGCAGGGAAGAUAAUGACGGUACCUGAGUAAGAAGCCCCGGCUAACUACGUGCCAGCAGCCGCGGUAAUACGUAGGGGGCAAGCGUUAUCCGGAUUUACUGGGUGUAAAGGGAGCGUAGACGGCGAUACAAGUCUGAAGUGAAAGCCCGGGGCUCAACCCCGGGACUGCUUUGGAAACUGUGUUGCUGGAGUGCUGGAGAGGCAAGCGGAAUUCCUAGUGUAGCGGUGAAAUGCAUAGAUAUCACGCAGAACUCCGAUUGCGAAGGCAGCAUACCGGCGCGCAACUGACGCUCAUGCACGAAAGCGUGGGUAUCGAACAGGAUUAGAUACCCCUGUAU
Molecule: ribosomal RNA, 447 nt
Filed under: uncultured bacterium
Lineage: Bacteria
Description: bacterial SSU rRNA
Rfam family: Bacterial small subunit ribosomal RNA
Source: RNAcentral